RNAcentral lists this ribosomal RNA (250 nucleotides) under uncultured bacterium. RNAcentral's name for it is "partial 16S ribosomal RNA". It matches the Rfam family "Bacterial small subunit ribosomal RNA", at positions 524 to 773 of the family's 1533-position model. The record is from RNAcentral.
UACGAAGGGAGCAAGCGUUGUUCGGAAUUACUGGGCGUAAAGGGCGCGUAGGCGGAUGAUCUAGUCAGAGGUGAAAGCCCUGGGCUCAACCCGGGAAUUGCCUUUGAAACUGGUCGUCUUGAGUGCGAGAGAGGGUGGCGGAAUACCCAGUGUAGAGGUGAAAUUCGUAGAUAUUGGGUAGAACACCAGUGGCGAAGGCGGCCACCUGGCUCGCAACUGACGCUGAGGCGCGAAAGCGUGGGGAGCAAAC